CACUAUCGUUAACUGAAUACAUAGGUUAACGAGGCGAACCGGGGGAACUGAAACAUCUAAGUACCCCGAGGAAAAGAAAUCAACCGAGAUUCCCCAGUAGCGGCGAGCGAACGGGGAGCAGCCCAGAGUCUGAAUCAGCUUGUGUGUUAGUGGAACGGUCUGGAAAGUCCGACGGUACAGGGUGAUAGUCCCGUACACCAAAAUGCACAGG
Molecule: ribosomal RNA, 211 nt
Filed under: Klebsiella pneumoniae
Lineage: Bacteria; Pseudomonadati; Pseudomonadota; Gammaproteobacteria; Enterobacterales; Enterobacteriaceae
Description: partial 23S ribosomal RNA
Rfam family: Bacterial large subunit ribosomal RNA
Source: RNAcentral